Oncorhynchus masou masou (cherry salmon) is the source of this 4787-nucleotide long non-coding RNA. RefSeq lists it as uncharacterized. The transcript has 3 exons. NCBI's taxonomy places the organism in Eukaryota, Metazoa, Chordata, Actinopteri, Salmoniformes, Salmonidae. The record is from RefSeq and is a predicted model, not a curated record.
CUUCUACUCAUGUCUGUAGCCAUGAAGAGCUUUGAAAGUCAGGUCAUGGCUCACAUCGCGCAUGUGACAAAUACAUUUAUUUGAUUUGAUUCUUGGGUCUCACAGACACUAACCACAAGCUAUUUCCUUUAGUUCUGCGCUGAAUCACAUCAGAAAUGUUUCAUGGGUUGUCUUAUAUUGGCAUAUAGCUAAAGGGAAACUGUCGUUGAUCAGUCAUUGUUCUUCAUUGUGAAAGCAGACAGGUGAGUCCGGGUCAUUGUUCUUCAUUGUGAAAGCAGACAGUAUGGAGGCGAUUCAAGAAUGGGUCAAACAAUCAAAGGGUAUUGUGUCGAAUGUGGCAUGUAGCUUCUGCCUUGUGGUCUUGGAGAAGAUUCUGGAGCUGGAGGUUCGGUGUCCCUGCAAUUAUAUAUAUAAAAUGUUCUUUAUGAUUGCAUUCUUUUUCAUUCCUGCCAUUUUAGCAUUCUUGCUGAUGCUACAAGUUCAAGAAUCUAGGGGCAACAUAGUAAAACGGAAGGCUUACUUGUCAAGCCUCAUCCCUUCGUUGGUGUGGUGGAUCGUACUGUUCUUUGAUGGCAGAUACGUUGCUUGUGCCAUGACAAAAUUAAAUGAAACAGGGGUCAUUCAUAAAGACGAUUUGUCUGUGAAAAUGUGUGAGAAAGCAGGGCAAGAUCAACAUCAGAAUAUCCUGUUUUGGGAAAUCUGUUCUCAGGGCAUUGGUAUGGCUCUGCUCUUGGCCGCCUGUGGGGCAGUUAUAGUAUCCAUAUGCAACAACUACACCUGGGAUUUAGGAGAAGUCAGUGAUGAAGUUACAGAAAGAAGAAGAGACAUCAGAAGCAGUGUAAUAGCAGGAGAAGAAGAAGGACUAGGAAGAAGAGGAGGAGAAGGACUAGGAGGAAGAGGAGGAGAAGGACUAGGAGGAAGAGGAGGAGAAGGACUAGGAGGAAGAGGAGGAGAAGGACUAGGACGAAGAGGAGGAGAAGGACUAGGAGGAAGAGGUGGAGGAGGACUAGGAGGAAGAGGAGGAGAAGGACUAGGAGGAAGAGGAGGAGAAGGACUAGGAGGAAGAGGAGGAAAAGGAACAGAAGCAGCACAUGCAUCAGGAGCAGGAGCAGGAGCAGAAGAAGAAGCAGUACAGGCAUCAGAAGCAGGACGAGGAGGAGGAGGAGCAGGAGCAGGAGGAGUACAGGCAUUAGAAGCUGGUGGAGGAGGAGGAGGAGGAGAAGGAGGAGUACAGGCAUUAGAAGAUGGUGGAGGAGGAGGAGGAGGAGGAGAAGGAGGAGUACAGGCAUUAGAAGCAGGAGGAGGAGGAGCAGGUGCAGAAGCAGUACAGGCAUCAGGAGCAGGAGAAGGAGCAGGAGAAUCAGAAGCAGAAGGAGCAGAUGGAAAAGGAGCAGAAGAAGUAGAUGCUUUGCUUCCAGAAAGUUGAAGGCCCCCCCAUGAAGUUAUGAAUUAAAAAGGAUUCAGGUUAGGUUUAGGGUUUAGGGUGGUACGCAGGCCCAGAAAUUGAUCAAAAUGUGCUGUAUAAAAUUACAUUGGUAAAAAUUGUAUUUUUUUUUUUCUUCUUCACACAAUCAAUAAGUAACCAAUUUAUAAUGUUUUUAUUUAUGAGUGUGGAGUUUAAGGAGUGUUUUCUCUGACACAGAUUAAGCCUAGUCCUGGACUAAAAAAUAAGUUUAUUAGCGAGUCUCCAUUGAAAUGCUUUUUAGUCCAGGAUUAAGGAGUAUUCGUGUCCACAAAAGUGACCCUAAGGCUGAGUUUGCAAAGGAAGACCAACUCUGAUCUUUUGACAAUUAUUUGUUCUAUUUAAUACAGUACAGUGCCUUGCGAAAGUAUUCGGCCCCCUUGAACUUUGCAACCUUUUGCCACAUUUCAGGCUUCAAACAUAAAGAUAUAAAACUGUAUUUUUUUGUGAAGAAUCAACAACAAGUGGGACACAAUCAUGAAGUGGAACGACAUUUAUUGGAUAUUUCAAACUUUUUUAACAAAUCAAAAACUGAAAAAUUGGGCGUGUAAAAUUAUUCAGCCCCCUUUACUUUCAGUGCAGCAAACUCUCUCCAGAAGUUCAGUGAGGAUCUCUGAAUGAUCCAAUGUUGACCUAAAUGACUAAUGAUGAUAAAUACAAUCCACCUGUGUGUAAUCAAGUCUCCGUAUAAAUGCACCUGCACUGUGAUAGUCUCAGAGGUCCGUUAAAAGCGCAGAGAGCAUCAUGAAGAACAAGGAACACACCAGGCAGGUCCGAGAUACUGUUGUGAAGAAUUUUAAACCCGGAUUUUGAUACAAAAAGAUUUCCCAAGCUUUAAACAUCCCAAGGAGCACUGUGCAAGCGAUAAUAUUAAAAUGGAAGGAGUAUCAGACCACUGCAAAUCUACCAAGUCCUGGCCGUCCCUCUAAACUUUCAGCUCAUACAAGGAGAAGACUGAUCAGAGAUGCAGCCAAGAGGCCCAUGAUCACUCUGGAUGAACUGCAGAGAUCUACAGCUGAUGUGGGAGACUCUGUCCAUAGGACAACAAUCAGUCGUAUAUUGCACAAAUCUGGCCUUUAUGGAAGAGUGGCAAGAAGAAAGCCAUUUCUUAAAGAUAUCCAUAAAAAGUGUUGUUUAAAGUUUGCCACAAGCCACCUGGGAGACACACCAAACAUGUGGAAGAAGGUGCUCUGGUCAGAUGAAACCAAAAUUGAACUUUUUGGCAACAAUGCAAAACGUUAUGUUUGGCGUAAAAGCAACACAGCUCAUCACAAUGAACACACCAUCCCCACUGUCAAACAUGGUGGUGGCAGCAUCAUGGGUUGGGCCUGCUUUUCUUCAGCAGGGACAGGGAAGAUGGUUAAAAUUGAUGGGAAGAUUACAUUUACAUUACAUUUAAGUCAUUUAGCAGACGCUCUUAUCCAGAGCGACUUAUGGAUGGAGCCAAAUACAGGACCAUUCUGGAAGAAAACCUGAUGGAGUCUGCAAAAGACCUGAGACUGGGACGGAGAUUUGUCUUCCAACAAGACAAUGAUCCAAAACAUAAAGCAAAAUCUACAAUGGAAUGGUUCAAAAAUAAACAUAUCCAGGUGUUAGAAUGGCCAAGUCAAAGUCCAGACCUGAAUCCAAUCGAGAAUCUGUGGAAUUGACUGAAAACUGCUGUUCACAAAUGCUCUCCAUCCAACCUCACUGAGCUUGAGCUGUUUUGCAAGGAGGAAUUUGAAAAAAAUUCAGUCUCUUGAUGUGCAAAACUGAUAGAGACAUAUCCCAAGCGACUUACAGCUGUAAUCGCAAGGCACUGUACAUACAGUAUCUGAUGGUUUUUUCCAGUGAGUAAAAAAAAAAACAUAAAACACAUUGAAUCUGAUCUUUUGAGUUCUGGUUUGUACCACAUUUGUAUGUGGUUCCCAAUACAUUCUGAUCCAUCAUGCAACAGUCUGGACGCUGAUUUCUUCCACAUGACCUGCUGAAACUGAACGUUUAAAGGUUAAAUAUACUAAAUGUUAAAGUUUGGAAACAGGGGGUAAUAUACCAUGGAAGAUAUUCAAGGGUCAGUAGAGGAAUGCAGUAAAUUGUUAACAGUUUUAUAAUGUUGUUGAGCUUAGAGGAACAAGACCUUAGGGGCCCAUUGGAAGGUAAUAAUGAAAUGUUAUAAUGUUGUUUAGCUUAGAGGAACAAGACCUUAGGGGCCCAUUGGAGGGUAAUAAUGAAAUGUUAUAAUGUUGUUUAGCUUAGAGGAACAAGACCUUAGGGGCCCAUUGGAGGGUAUUAAUGAAAUGUUAUAAUGUUGUUUGCUUUAAGGUAUGAUGCAUAUAGACUAUAUUUGUUAAGCUUAGAGGAACCUUAAACCUUGGGGUCCAUAUGAGGUUGAUAAUGAAAUGUUGUAAUGAGGAAAUGUUUACGUUGGUGGAUGUUUAAGAUGUAAUUGGGGGGUAAUACGUUUGGUUGGAGUAAGAUUAGAAUUGAGUGGAGUAAGGGAAGGUUGAUGAUUAAAAAUUACUGUUUUAAAAGUUAAAGGUAAUUAAGUAUGUUAAGGGAGUUAGUUGGAUUUGGAAAUCCCUAAAUCGGUUAGGGAGACCGGUCAGGUGAGAAAAGGGUGGGAGUCAAGGGGGAUGAAAAAACACCUUUUUGAACGUUGGCCGCAUUAGGUGUUAAACACUGGAUGCAUCAUUGGGGUAGGUGUUAGCCACAGUGUGUUAGCCACAGUGUGUUAGCCACAGUGUGUUAGCCACAGUGUGUUAGCCACAGUGUGUUAGCAGAAAUAAAAAUGGAGGGUAUAAAGGAGGCAUGAUUUUGGAGAAGGGAGAACUCCCUCUCUUUCAGCUACAACAACCUGUCGACUGCUGGAAGAAGAUUUUUGCUGUAGCUUUUUAGCUUAAUUAAAAUAUAUUUCGAGUUUUAUUAUAAUCUUAUUUUAGAUUUUUAUUAUACUCAGUUAAAGUAACAUUUUUAGGAGGAAUCCUUAAGGUUACCUCAUUGAUAGCAGUGUGUUAAAGUAGCUGUUCAAGUAUUCAGCCGCUAUCGAAGGGACUGAUCAUUCUGAAGAGGGAGACAAAAAAAAACUGUUUAUAAAGUUGUAGAAGGUAUGAAAUUGUUUUUCUUUUUCAUUGAAUAUUGUGCUUCACCUAAAAUUGUAACAGUCAAAAGAUAUUGUAUUGGCAUCCCAAUAAGGGUUUAGUUAAGGGUGCUGCAGGAGUCCGUCAGUUUAAUUUGCUGUUGAUGUUUGCCUGUCAUUGAUUGGUGAAAUUGAUUUGUGAUUGAUUGAUUGAUCUGGAUUUUUUUUUAUGAAUGUUUCUGGAAUUUUGAAUAAACUUGCUUUAUUGUU